CAUAACUAAAAUGAGAAUUGGGAAACUGAGAACUCAGAAGUAUCAACUACCAUAUAACUUAAUUAAUUCACCAGAAUUGCUUUGUGAAUUUGCAAAUGCAGUUGCAAGUGGGAGAUAUGAAAACAAAAGCGUAGGGGACAUUAAAUGAUCAGUUCAAAUGGAGGAAGCCACUUUUAUAAUUGGAAUGGAAGGAUUAUGAUAUUCAGACAGGCAAAGAACAAAGGUACU
This 228-nucleotide long non-coding RNA is filed under the name Ictidomys tridecemlineatus (thirteen-lined ground squirrel). Its description in RNAcentral is "lncRNA (ENSSTOG00000029809.1)". Lineage: Eukaryota; Metazoa; Chordata; Mammalia; Rodentia; Sciuridae. The record is from RNAcentral.